This 208-nucleotide unclassified non-coding RNA is filed under the name soil metagenome. RNAcentral's name for it is "partial contains 5.8S ribosomal RNA, internal transcribed spacer 2, and large subunit ribosomal RNA". The record is from RNAcentral.
AACAUCGCGCACCUGCGGGAACCUGCGGAGGGAUCAUUACAGAGUGACCACCGUGUCGUGGCUCUGCCUACCCCGCGAACCCUACCCCUCGUCGUUGCCUCGGCGGGCGCUCCCCGCCGCAGGCCCCAGCAAACACGCACCGUAACGCUCGGCGCUCCUUCUGAAAGAACGAUUUUUUAAACGAGUAAAAACUUUUAACAAUGGAUCU